This 777-nucleotide ribosomal RNA is filed under the name uncultured Neocallimastigales. Its description in RNAcentral is "partial large subunit ribosomal RNA". It matches the Rfam family "Eukaryotic large subunit ribosomal RNA", at positions 24 to 649 of the family's 3401-position model. The record is from RNAcentral. Lineage: Eukaryota; Fungi; Neocallimastigomycota; Neocallimastigomycetes; Neocallimastigales.
UACGACUACAUAUCAGGCAUAUCAAUAAGCGGAGGAAAAGAAACUAGCAAGGAUUCCCCUAGUAACGGCGAGUGAAGCGGGAAGAGCUCAAAUUUGAAAUCUUAAAGGAUUGUCCCUUUACGAAUUGUAGUUUAAUAGAAGUGUUUUCUGUUGGAGUUUCGGUAAAAGUUCUUUGGAAUAGGACAUCAUAGAGGGUGAGAAUCCCGUAUUUGACCGUUACUUCUCAGCUGCGUGAUACACUUUCAAAGAGUCGGAUUGUUUGGGAAUGCAGUCCAAGAUGGGUGGUAAAUUUCAUCUAAAGCUAAAUAUUGGCGAGAGACCGAUAGCGAACAAGUACCGUGAGGGAAAGAUGAAAAGAACUUUGAAAAGAGAGUUAAACAGUACGUGAAAUUGUCAAAAGGGAAGCGUUUGACACCAGUGUUGUUUAGUUGAAAAUCAAUUCAAUAGUUUUUGAUUCUAAGUAGUAUUGACUUCAUCAGCUUGCUGCUUUCUUCUCAGAAAUUAUUGAAUGCACUUUUCAGUUAACAAGUCAACAUCAAUUUCUUUUGUUGUAAAAGGGUAAGAGGAAGGUGGCUUGCGCUUCGGCUCAAGUGUUUAUAGCCUUUUAUCUCUGCAAUCGGAGAGAUUGAGGUCUGCAGCGUAGAUCCUUCGGGGUUAGAUACAUUGGUGCUAAGCUAUAGCCUUGUAUAGACAACUUGUUGACUAUGCUCAGUCAUGUAGCUUACUCGCUGAUGCUAUUUUACCUACGCUUAGGAUGUUGAGUAGCGACAUACGCAC